RNAcentral lists this ribosomal RNA (465 nucleotides) under uncultured bacterium. RNAcentral describes it as "bacterial SSU rRNA". It matches the Rfam family "Bacterial small subunit ribosomal RNA", at positions 330 to 793 of the family's 1533-position model. The record is from RNAcentral.
UCCAGACUCCUACGGGAGGCAGCAGUGAGGAAUAUUGGUCAAUGGGCGCGAGCCUGAACCAGCCAAGUAGCGUGAAGGAUGACUGCCCUACGGGUUGUAAACUUCUUUUAUAAAGGAAUAAAGUGAGGCACGUGUGCCUUUUUGUAUGUACUUUAUGAAUAAGGAUCGGCUAACUCCGUGCCAGCAGCCGCGGUAAUACGGAGGAUCCGAGCGUUAUCCGGAUUUAUUGGGUUUAAAGGGUGCGCAGGCGGCGAGUUAAGUCAGGGGUAAAAUUUCGGGGCUCAACCCCGACAAGCCGUUGAAACUGGCUUGCUAGAGUGGGCGAGAAGUAUGCGGAAUGCGUGGUGUAGCGGUGAAAUGCAUAGAUAUCACGCAGAACUCCGAUUGCGAAGGCAGCAUACCGGCGCCCAACUGACGCUCAGGCACGAAAGCGUGGGUAUCGAACAGGAUUAGAUACCCUAGUAA